Molecule: unclassified non-coding RNA, 216 nt
Filed under: Hevea brasiliensis (rubber tree)
Lineage: Eukaryota; Viridiplantae; Streptophyta; Magnoliopsida; Malpighiales; Euphorbiaceae
Source: RNAcentral
GAAUAACUUUAGAGUCCCACAAGUUCAAACUAACAUUUUCAGACCAAGCAAUCCAAUCAUAAAGAGCACAAGUUCUAUUGCUAAUUAAUUCAUUCAAACAGGGUAAAUGGAAGGGAGGAAACCAUCAGUUGUGUUAGCAAGAGCAGGGUAUUUUUUAGGCUAUUUCCAAUCAUCAGAAUGUAAUACAAAAUCAACCAAGUAAAAUUUGCUUUUAAU